RNAcentral lists this unclassified non-coding RNA (253 nucleotides) under uncultured delta proteobacterium. RNAcentral describes it as "contains 16S-23S intergenic spacer region". It matches the Rfam family "Bacterial small subunit ribosomal RNA", at positions 524 to 776 of the family's 1533-position model. Lineage: Bacteria; Deltaproteobacteria. The record is from RNAcentral.
UACGGAGGGUGCGAGCGUUGUUCGGAAUCAUUGGGCGUAAAGCGCGUGUAGGCGGCUUGGCAAGUCGGUUGUGAAAGCCCGGGGCUCAACCCCGGAACUGCAGCCGAAACUGCCUAGCUAGAGUCCCGGAGAGGAAGGCAGAAUUCCCGGUGUAGGGGUGAAAUCCGUAGAUAUCGGGAGGAAUACCCGUGGCGAAGGCGGCCUUCUGGACGGUGACUGACGCUGAGACGCGAAAGCGUGGGGAGCAAACAGG